UGGGGGAUAUUGCACAAUGGGCGAAAGCCUGAUGCAGCGACGCCGCGUGGGGGAUGAAGGCUUUCGGGUUGUAAACCUCUUUCGCUAUCGAACAAGGCCCGCUUAGGGUGGGUUGAGGGUAGGUGGAGAAGAAGCGCCGGCUAACUACGUGCCAGCAGCCGCGGUAAUACGUAGGGCGCGAGCGUUGUCCGGAAUUAUUGGGCGUAAAGGGCUUGUAGGCGGCUUGUUGCGCCUGCUGUGAAAACGCGGGGCUUAACUUCGCGCGUGCAGUGGGUACGGGCAGGCUUGAGUGUGGUAGGGGUGACUGGAAUUCCAGGUGUAGCGGUGGAAUGCGCAGAUAUCAGGAGGAACACCGGUGGCGAAGGCGGGUCUCUGGGCCGUUACUGACGCUGAGGAGCGAAAGCGUGGGGAGCGAACAGG
Molecule: ribosomal RNA, 420 nt
Filed under: bacterium
Lineage: Bacteria
Description: partial 16S ribosomal RNA
Rfam family: Bacterial small subunit ribosomal RNA
Source: RNAcentral